GAUGAACGCUGGCGGCGUGCCUAAUACAUGCAAGUCGAGCGAACAGAUAAGGAGCUUGCUCCUUUGACGUUAGCGGCGGACGGGUGAGUAACAAGUGGGUAACCUACCUAUAAGACUGGGAUAACUUCGGGAAACCGGAGCUAAUACCGGAUAACAUUUGGAACCGCAUGGUUCUAAAGUGAAAGAUGGUUUUGCUAUCACUUAUAGAUGGACCCGCGCCGUAUUAGCUAGUUGGUAAGGUAACGGCUUACCAAGGCAACGAUACGUAGCCGACCUGAGAGGGUGAUCGGCCACACUGGAACUGAGACACGGUCCAGACUCCUACGGGAGGCAGCAGUAGGGAAUCUUCCGCAAUGGGCGAAAGCCUGACGGAGCAACGCCGCGUGAGUGAUGAAGGGUUUCGGCUCGUAAAACUCUGUUAUUAGGGAAGAACAAAUGUGUAAGUAACUGUGCACGUCUUGACGGUACCUAAUCAGAAAGCCACGGCUAACUACGUG
This 497-nucleotide ribosomal RNA is filed under the name uncultured bacterium. RNAcentral describes it as "partial 16S ribosomal RNA". It matches the Rfam family "Bacterial small subunit ribosomal RNA", at positions 28 to 507 of the family's 1533-position model. The record is from RNAcentral.